GAUGAACGCUGGCGGCGUGCCUAAUACAUGCAAGUCGAGCGAACGGACGAGAAGCUUGCUUCUCUGAUGUUAGCGGCGGACGGGUGAGUAACACGUGGAUAACCUACCUAUCAGACUGGGAUAACUUCGGGAAACCGGAGCUAAUACCGGAUGAUAUUUUGAACCGCAUGGUUCAAAAGUGAAAUACGGUCUUGCUGUCACUUAUAGAUGGAUCCGCGCUGCAUUAGCUAGUUGGUAAGGUAACGGCCUACCAAGGCAACGAUGCAUAGCCGACCUGAGAGGGUGAUCGGCCACACUAGAACGGAGACACGGUCCAUACUCCUACGGGAGGCAGCAGUAGGGAAUCUUCCGCAAUGGGCGAGAGCCUGACGGAGCAACGCCGCGUGAGUGAUGAAGGUCUUCGGAUCGUAAAACUCUGUUAUUAGGGAAAAACAUAUGUGUAAGUAACUGUGCACAUCUUGACGGUACCUAAUCAGAAAGCAACGGCUAACUACGUG
RNAcentral lists this ribosomal RNA (497 nucleotides) under uncultured bacterium. Its description in RNAcentral is "partial 16S ribosomal RNA". It matches the Rfam family "Bacterial small subunit ribosomal RNA", at positions 28 to 507 of the family's 1533-position model. The record is from RNAcentral.